Lucilia sericata (common green bottle fly) is the source of this 779-nucleotide long non-coding RNA. RefSeq lists it as uncharacterized. NCBI's taxonomy places the organism in Eukaryota, Metazoa, Arthropoda, Insecta, Diptera, Calliphoridae. The record is from RefSeq and is a predicted model, not a curated record. The transcript is spliced from 2 exons.
UACUCUUUGUUACUUUUUUUUGCUCUUCUUGUUUUUUUUUGUUUGCUUUGUGUCAAAAAAAUCUUGUCAAGUUUUUUUGCCUUUUAUUUCUUGACGAAUUUUAUACGUGCGUGCACUAUUUUCAGCAAAUAUCGCAUAGUUUUGGGGCGAUUUUACAUGGACUUUUUUUGGAACACAAAUAUUUUACAAAAAAAAAACGCCUUAAAAAGUGACAAAAUAUAUUUUUGAAAAGUUUAAAACACCGUGAAGUGAAAAAUGUAUUAAAUACGGAAUUAAAGUGAAGAAAAUAAUCUUGACAAGGUGACAAAAUCACACAAAGGUUAUAUACAGUUUUUUUUAUUCCGUUUUGCGAGCGUGUGAGUUUGUGUGUUUUUGCAUUUUAAUAGAAAGAGAGAGGAGGGUAUGACAAAAAGGAAGCAAAAGUAAAAAAGAAAUUAACAUACCAGACAAAUAAUGUAAUAAAAUAAUUUAAUAAAAGAUAAAUUUAUUUAUAAAAAAAGUGAUAACAACAUUUUUAAGAAUCUUCUUCAUUCCAAGUUUAUUAGUGUGACCAUAAUUAAGUUGUUGUUGUUGUUGUAAAAGGUGCUUCACUCAGUUUGCUGUUUGUUACUUUUAUAUUAUUGCUGUUGCUUUUGCAGACAACGGAAAUCACAACAACUACAAAAAUAUUAUAACUAAAAUAACCAAGAUUUCCCACAAUUUAUUUAUAAUAAAAAAAAAACUACUAAACAACAACUUUUAAACAAAAAAAAAAAAACUUGUUUAAAAUCUUAAAAAAA